RNAcentral lists this ribosomal RNA (406 nucleotides) under uncultured bacterium. RNAcentral describes it as "partial 16S ribosomal RNA". It matches the Rfam family "Bacterial small subunit ribosomal RNA", at positions 30 to 526 of the family's 1533-position model. The record is from RNAcentral.
AUUGAACGCUGGCGGCAGGCCUAACACAUGCAAGUCGAGCGCGCGGCGGACGGGUGAGUAAUGUGUGGGGAUCUGCCCGUUAGAGGGGGAUAACUCCUGGAAACGGUGGCUCAUACCGCAUACUGUAGGAUGUACCCAUAUGGGAUUAGCUAGUAGGUAAGGUAAUGGCUUACCUAGGCGACGAGCCCUAGCUGGUCUGAGAGGAUGAUCAGCCACACUGGAACUGAGACACGGCCCAGACUCCUACGGGAGGCAGCAGUGGGGAAUAUUGGACAAUGGGCGCAAGCCUGAUGCAGCCAUGCCGCGUGUAUGAAGAAGGCCGUCGGGUUGUAAAGUACUUUCAGUGGGGAGGCGUUACCGACAGAAGAAGCACCGGCUAACUCCGUGCCAGCAGCCGCGGUAAUAC